AUGCGAUGAUGAGCGAAGUCUAGUCUGACCUGGUACUGCCGUUCUUCCGUUCGGGCUUUGACCAGGGCGUGACCACCUAAUCUUCUCUCUGAGCUG
This is a small nucleolar RNA of Artibeus jamaicensis (Jamaican fruit-eating bat), 96 nucleotides long. RefSeq annotates it as Z30 small nucleolar RNA. The record is from RefSeq and is a predicted model, not a curated record. Lineage: Eukaryota; Metazoa; Chordata; Mammalia; Chiroptera; Phyllostomidae. The transcript has a single exon.